GUUUGCUUCAGCGCCACAUAUACUAAAAUCAGAAUGAUCCAGAGAAGAUUAGCAUGCCUCCUGUGCAAGGGUGACAUGCAGAUAUUUGAAGUGUUCUGUACUUAA
Small nuclear RNA from Phyllostomus hastatus (greater spear-nosed bat), 105 nucleotides. Lineage: Eukaryota; Metazoa; Chordata; Mammalia; Chiroptera; Phyllostomidae. The record is from RefSeq and is a predicted model, not a curated record.